AUGCCCAGGAAGGAGGACGAGGCAGCCAGAGUGUUCUCUGCAGCAGAAGACCCCUUGCUGCCCUGCUUAACCCGGACCAGCAUUUGCCAGGCAACAGUGACCCACCCUGUCUCUGCAUCUGGGUCUCCGGGCCAAACUGUCAAACUCUCCUGCACCAGUGGAAGCAGCAGUGGGAGCUGCAGCAUCUAUUAUAACUGGAUUCAACAGAGUCCUGGACAGGCCCCUCGCUUUGUGCACUGUAACGGCUGCAACAGGGGAGAAGGGAUCCCGGACCAGUUCACUGCCUCUGCCUCGGGAACCACUGCCCAGUUAACCAUCACCAACGUCCAUCCUGAAGACGAGGCAGAUUAUUACUGUGCUGUUUGGGAUGGCACUGGUAGCAUGUUCCACGGUGGUACAAUCUAA
Molecule: non-coding RNA, 405 nt
Organism: Hemicordylus capensis (graceful crag lizard)
Lineage: Eukaryota; Metazoa; Chordata; Lepidosauria; Squamata; Cordylidae
Source: the annotation of a RefSeq genome assembly